Long non-coding RNA from Ctenopharyngodon idella (grass carp), 2682 nucleotides. RefSeq lists it as uncharacterized. The record is from RefSeq and is a predicted model, not a curated record. Lineage: Eukaryota; Metazoa; Chordata; Actinopteri; Cypriniformes; Xenocyprididae. The transcript has 3 exons.
CUAAAAUGUUGGCGGUAACAUAUCAAAAUCAUAUUUUUGACAUGACUAAAUCAAUAUAAUUAUAUACAUAACAGCAACAAAAGUCAAUUAAAGGGUGAAAUCAGGUAGAAACAGGUCACAACUGCACACUUUCACUUUUUGCAGGUAUAUGUAAAAAUAUCAGUUUUACUUCAUUUGAAAUUUCCCAUAGUGGAAAAGAGAAAUGCAUCAUCACAGAACUCAUUUGUCAAGCGUUAUCAGGGAGACUGUCAGUUAAAAAUGCAGGUCCGUGCGGGGUGAGCAUGGUGCCGGGUCACUCCCUCACACACGUGACUUAUGAACAUGUCCACCAGACAAACACACCAUCCUAAACAACGGAUUUACACUCUCCCCUGAUGACACUCAUUCAAUCAUGUAUAUUAAUCUGUAAUCUCAAAUAGCUCAUUUAACAGAAAUGCAGAUGUCGAGCGGGAUAAACAUGGAAACUAUCGGCUGUCUCUCAUUCAGAGGCUGGUCAAACCUCGUCAGAUAUCAGCGGCGUUCACCGGUUAACUUCCUCCCACUCGACAUCUGCAUUCCUGAACCCGUCCAGAGAAACUCACACUCAAACCAUCACUGCAACUUCAGCUCGACGCGAGCGCUCAUGCUGUUUCUGAUGCUUUAUAAAAACCUGAGACAGAAGAAGAUCUGUACCAUGUAUCUGGUGUCACACUAUGUUGUGAUGUUUUUCUGGAGUGCUGUCUGUGUGAGACCACAGGACCCUCUGUCACUGAACCCCACUAAUGCAGCAUCACCACCAUGUUUCAUUCCGCCUGGAGAUGUCCCAUAUACUAAAUGUGUUAUAGAUGUACAUCAUGGAAGCAAGGACACCAUCCCAAUGCCAUCGAGUGCAGUUACCAAGCCAGUUCCCACUACAGUCUUUACCACAGUCAUCAAUCCAACAUCUACAACUUUGGAAUCAAGUACAACGGCACCAAAACCAGCAACCAGCACACCUACAGUACAUCCAUCUCCAAAUUCAACAGAGGAGAAAAAGUUCACGACCAAAACUCCAACACAGAGUCCCAUGAUAGUGGGUGAAACAGUGCUUAAAAAUCAUUCAGACAGACAGAACACAACUGAAUCCACUACCUGCGCCUCUGUCUGGAUGGGUGUAAACACAAAGCUGUAUCUGUACAGUCUGUUAGCGGUGUGUGGCGUCCUGAUGGUGAUCAUAGCCACACUGAGCUUCUGCCUGUAUAAACAGUGUAAGAAACAACCAGUGGAGAACCCAAAUCUAACCAGACUAAUCUCCAUCCCCAAUCCAGCAUUUUCCAACCCAUAAAGAACAAAAGGAGUGGAGGAACUUACCUUAUUCUGCACACAGCUGCACGAGGCCUGGCUUACAGUAGAUACAGCUGUGAAGAGGAAAUUAUUGGAAAAAUGCCCAAAAACCCUCUCCGAGUUAAAGUUGAUUUUGUAUUUAUUUACCGAAAGCAAUUUUUCCCAAAUAAUUUCAUAUAUAUUCCAAAACCUUGCCUGCAUAAUAGCUGGACGUGAAGCUCCGCUAGGCAAGACCAGAAUUUUGUGCAUUUACAAAAUUGAUAAUUGAUUUUAUGCAUAAAUGUGCUCAACCAAGACCAAAUUAAAAUAAGAACACAGAAUCGAGAGGUGAUUUAAAACACAAAAGAAUAUAGAUAUAUACUGACAAUUUGAUGGUUUUAUCAGCAAUAAUAUGCAAAAAUAAUCUGUUUAUUUCAGACACUUAUACAGGCCUGUCACAUCAUGAAUUUUGUGCUGAUGAUUAAUUGUCAUACAGAUUAUAGCAAUUAACAAUUUUAUUUUGUUUUGUUCAUGUCACUUACAGUGUAAGAAUACUACAUUUUUUACUGUAUACUAUAUAAUAAAAUUUAUAAUACAAAUAGAUCCAUAUGACUUACUCUAAUGCAUUAAAAAAUUAAUAAUAUUUAUAUAAUGAAUGAUUUAUUAUAACAAUAUAAAUAAUUGUUUAGAAAAAAUAUAAAUUUUCACAGUAAAACAUACAUUUAUUUAAUGAUAUAAAUAUAUUAUAUAUAUAUAUAUAUAUAUGCACAUAGAUAUAAACGUAUAUAUACGUAUUUAAUUUAGAAAAAAAAUAUGUAAUUUAUAAUACAAUUUAGACAAAAUGUAUGUUAAUGUUCAAACUAAAUUAAUUUAAUGUAAUUUGAGAAGUAUAGAAAAUAAAUAGACCUAUAUUUUUGUCUUUUAAAACUAGUACAGUAUGAAUAACAAGUUUCACUUUAAUGGAUUUGAUUAUUACAUUGAAAUAUUUAAUGACUAACUAAAACAGCUGGUCGAUUUGUAUAGUGAUUCUAAACCAACUACUUCAGUAUGAAAGCAGAUUAUUCUUUGCAGUUCACAGUCUUGUGCAAUUUGGACUUUGCUCCUCAUAUUCAUGUAAAUACCUAAGCAAUGAAUCAGAAUGUUUUCCACUUUUCGACUAUAUCUAUAGUUUUAUUUCUCCUUAAAGGAAAUGGUACACUGUGAUUCUAAUGUCUGUAAAAUGUUGGAGUAAAAGGCUGUUAAACACCAAUACAAAUCUAGUCACACUACAAUACAUUCUACUUUGAAAUCAUUUUCUUUUUAAACUUGUUAACACAUUAUAAACACAACUGUGUAUUUGAUGUCCUAUUUUUUUUUAUUUUCAAAACUGACCCACAGUUCAUUAAAAUGAUUUUAAAAAUG